GUAACACUCUAAGAAUUUAAAAUAGUUAUAUAUAAAAAUUUUGAUAGAACUAAACCUUUUACCCCAGUUAUAGUAUUUUAAGUAUUGUUUAUGCUUAAAAGAUUAUGAGAAUUAAGCGAGUUAGAGUAGUUCUAAGAAGGCUGACCACUCUGUGAGGUAGGACGUCACAGUUAGAAGUAGAAUCAAUAAUCAAUCGGAAAUGUGAGAUAAGAUUCGACUACUGAGUUAGAAUCAUAUAGGGGGCGGAGCGCAGUUGACUAUAAGAUCGGCUAAUGUUAGCGACGCGAGUCUCACAUUGUGAGACUCCAAAUAAUUCUACAUAUAAAGUAUAAUAGGGUUAAAACUUUUAACCCGACUUAAACAUUUUGGAUGGUGAUUAGGUCCAAGAGGCUAAAAGAGUUAAGCGUGCUAGGACGAGAGUAGUCUUAGGAUGGAUGACCCUCUAGGAAGUUGGGACGUUACAGUUGGUAUCAGAACCAAUUAUCAGCCGGAAGUGUAAGAUGAGCCUCGACUAAGUCAAAGUUAUACAACGGGAAUAGUGAAACUCUCAUACUGUUGACUAUUGUGUAUAGAGUGCGGCUUCCCUAUAAGGUCGGUUUAUACUAGCGAGACGAGUCUCAUAUUGUCUGGUACUUGUGAGUCUGAGCCUAACGAGAACGUCGGGGCUUAACAAAAGGGAGAAUGUGAGAUCCCAGAUAAUUCUAUAUAUAGGAUAUAAUAUGGUUAAAACUUUUAACCCGGCUUAAGCAUUUUAGGUGGUGGCUAAAUCCUAAAGGUUAAAAGAGUUAAACGUGUUAGGACGGGAAUAGUCAUAGAAUAGGUGAUCCCCUAAAAAGUUGGGGCGUCACACACAUCGUCUGAUACUUAUAAGUGUGCUUGAUUUUAACGAAAUAUGCUUGAGUCUAACGAGAAUGUCAGAACUUAGAAAAAAAGGAUGUGACACUCCUAAAAUUUAAAAUAGUUAUAUACAUA
RNAcentral lists this long non-coding RNA (972 nucleotides) under Ananas comosus (pineapple). RNAcentral's name for it is "long non-coding RNA (ACOM_LNC044690)". The record is from RNAcentral. Lineage: Eukaryota; Viridiplantae; Streptophyta; Magnoliopsida; Poales; Bromeliaceae.